This 329-nucleotide ribosomal RNA is filed under the name uncultured soil bacterium. RNAcentral describes it as "bacterial SSU rRNA". It matches the Rfam family "Bacterial small subunit ribosomal RNA", at positions 26 to 357 of the family's 1533-position model. The record is from RNAcentral.
AGAUUGAACGCUGGCGGCAGGCCUAACACAUGCAAGUCGAGCGGCAGCACGGGUACUUGUACCUGGUGGCGAGCGGCGGACGGGUGAGUAAUGCCUAGGAAUCUGCCUGGUAGUGGGGGAUAACGCUCGGAAACGGACGCUAAUACCGCAUACGUCCUACGGGAGAAAGCAGGGGACCUUCGGGCCUUGCGCUAUCAGAUGAGCCUAGGUCGAUUAGCUAGUUGGUGAGGUAUGGCUCACCAAGGCGACGAUCCGUAACUGGUCUGAGAGGAUGAUCAGUCACACUGGAACUGAGACACGGUCCAGACUCCGUACGGGAGCAGACGAGG